CAAAACAAAACCAAAACACACACACGAGAACUCUACUAUUCAUUCAGAAGACACCAUUAGGAAAGUGAAAAGAAAAUCCAAAGAGCGGGAGGAUAUAUUUUUCAGACAAUGGACUUAUAUCCAAAAUAUAUAAAGAACUUCUUAAAAUCAAUAAGGAAGCCAUUCAAUAAAAAAAGGGACAAGACUUGAAUAGACAUUUCACAAAAAAAGAUAUCUAAAUGGCCAAUAAACUUACAAAAAGGUGCUCUAUUUCAUUAGUCAUUAUAGAAAUGAAAAUUAAAACCACAGAUGAUGACCAAAAUAAAAAACAGAAAAUACCAAAUGUUGUUGAGAAUAUAUAAUAACCAGAAUUCUCGCACUACACUACUGAUGGGAGUAUAAACCUGUACAACUACUUUAGAAAACUGUUUGCUAAUAUCAACAAAAAAUGAAUUUACACAUAUCCAGCAAUUCCACUCCUAGUUAUAUGUCCAACAGAAACAUUUACAUAUGAUACCAAAAGACACAUAAGGAGGGAAAAAGCAACAGUAUUCAUAAAACUGGAAAUUAUUCAAAUGCCUAUCUACAGUAGAAUAGGUAAAUAAAUUGUGGUAUUUUCACAUAAUGAGACAGCAG
Molecule: long non-coding RNA, 615 nt
Filed under: Homo sapiens (human)
Lineage: Eukaryota; Metazoa; Chordata; Mammalia; Primates; Hominidae
Description: HSALNT0095546
Source: RNAcentral